Non-coding RNA from Cinara cedri, 247 nucleotides. The record is from the annotation of a GenBank genome assembly. NCBI's taxonomy places the organism in Eukaryota, Metazoa, Arthropoda, Insecta, Hemiptera, Aphididae.
GGAUGAAGAACUAGAGGACAACUCUGGAGAGAAGUAGUUCAAGAUAAAAACAGGUGGCGAAGUAUAGUAGUGGCAGCCGUAACUCUUAGACAGUAAAAUUAUGUCAUUAGAAGAAGAAGAAAAAGAAUGUCUACCUUAAUGAUAAGGCAAAUCCAUUAAUAUACUGUCCGACACUCGUUUAAAGGGAAAAAUUACAGCUUUUAAUACGGACGAACACGGUGUUUUAUACCGAAAAGCCAGACAAAAC